Triticum aestivum (bread wheat) is the source of this 968-nucleotide long non-coding RNA. RefSeq lists it as uncharacterized. The record is from RefSeq and is a predicted model, not a curated record. The transcript is spliced from 2 exons. NCBI's taxonomy places the organism in Eukaryota, Viridiplantae, Streptophyta, Magnoliopsida, Poales, Poaceae.
UGUUGUGCUCCUCCCGUUCUCAUUAACCAAAUAGUGCAGACUGUGGCUGUAUGACUCGUGUAUAUAUCCAAUUGGACCAUGAAAAUCAAACUGAUAGCAAGAACUUGAUAUAGUGCUAAGUUAUAGUUCGUAAACAGAUCCAUAUUAGUUUAGAGAUCCGCACAACAAAUUUAUACAUUCAGAAUGACCACCAAAAUCUAGCAGCACAAUUAACUAGAUUGGAAGAAUUUAUUUGAUUAAUAUGUGCACAUGAAACAACAAAUUAACCCGUGUGAACUAUCCACAUUGGUCUGAGUUAUGCUGAACUUUUUGAUCUUUUUAUUAACCACAUCGGUGGUCUAAAAGAAUUAAUGAGUAGCAACACAGACUAAGAAAUUGCUAUUUAUCUUAUCUAUGCUAAGAAACCGGAGACUGGAUUUACCAACAUGGAAGGAUUCCUCAAGAGCACAUCAGCACCUGAAGCUGCGGCUGUCGCAGCUCUACAAUUUUUCUUCUUUCCGGAUGCCCGACAGCCUGAGCAUGCAAGAGCAGCAGCACGAGCAGGCCGUGCUGUGCAACAUCAGCAGAGCGCUCUCAGUGCAGCGGAACUACUCGGGCGUCUCUGAUGACAACAUAUUUGAUACUGAAGUUGAAGAUUGUAGCACGGCAUUCGUACUAGUAAUAAUUACAUGUAGGCCUAUUUUUGAAUGCCUAUUUUUCAGUUGUUUUGGGAAUUAGACCAAAGAGUAAUGAUUGUUGUUGUCUUGUUGCAGAUCAAAGAUGCCAAGAAGACAACUAAUGUGCCAGGAGGUGCGGGUACUUAGCCACACCUAGCAUUGGAUGUGAGGAGGACUUGGAGUGUCAUGGAACACAUAUGGCUGUUUGCAGUAUUUUGGACCAACCAACUUCAAUCAUUUCUUGAAUCUUAUGUGUGUUCUGGACCAUUUGGUGCUUCAAGUGUUUUGGAGUAGAAACUUUGUGCUCAUGUA